RNAcentral lists this ribosomal RNA (405 nucleotides) under uncultured bacterium. RNAcentral's name for it is "bacterial SSU rRNA". It matches the Rfam family "Bacterial small subunit ribosomal RNA", at positions 976 to 1381 of the family's 1533-position model. The record is from RNAcentral.
UAGCCUUGACAUAUUAUAGAAUUCAGUAGAGAUACAGAAGUGCCUUCGGGAGCUAUAUUACAGGUGCUGCACGGCUGUCGUCAGCUCGUGUCGUGAGAUGUUGGGUUAAGUCCCGCAACGAGCGCAACCCUCGUCACUAGUUACUAACGGUUAGGCCGAGGACUCUAGUGAGACUGCCUUCGUAAGGAGGAGGAAGGUGAGGACGACGUCAAGUCAUCAUGGCCCUUACGGCUAGGGCAACACACGUGCUACAAUGGUAGGGACAAAGAGCAGCGAGACAGCGAUGUUCAGCCAAUCUCAAAAACCCUAUCUCAGUUCGGAUUGAAGUCUGCAACUCGACUUCAUGAAGUUGGAAUCGCUAGUAAUCGUAGAUCAGCAUGCUACGGUGAAUACGUUCCCGGGCCU